UUACUGGUGGUCCAGUGGCUAAGAUGCUGCACUCCCAAUGCAGGGGGCCCAGGUUCGACCCCUGGUCAGGAAA
Molecule: transfer RNA, 73 nt
Organism: Ovis aries (sheep)
Lineage: Eukaryota; Metazoa; Chordata; Mammalia; Artiodactyla; Bovidae
Rfam family: tRNA
About the family: Transfer RNA (tRNA) molecules are approximately 80 nucleotides in length. Their secondary structure includes four short double-helical elements and three loops (D, anti-codon, and T loops).
Source: Rfam